GACGAACGCUGGCGGCGUGCUUAACACAUGCAAGUCGAACGGGCCUGUCUUCUUUUUUGGGGGGUGGGUUGAGUGGCGAACGGGUGAGUAUCACGUGAGUAACCUGCCCUUCGGUCCUGGAUAACCGCUUGAAAGGGCGGCUAAUACGGGGUGGUCCGGUUGGUCCGCAUGGGCUGGUCGGGAUAGAUUCACUGUUUUUGGUGUUUCGGCGGGGGAUGGGCUCGCGGCCUAUCAGCUUGUUGGUGGGGUGAUGGCCUACCAAGGCGGUGACGGGUAGCCGGCCGGGGAGGGUGGGCGGCCACACUGGGACUGAGAUACGGCCCAGACUCCUGCGGGAGGCAGCAGUGGGGGGUAUUGCACAAUGGGCGGAAGCCUGAUGCAGCGACGUCGCGUGAGGGAUGGAGGCCUUCGGGUUGUGAACCUCUGUUUCCGGUGGUGAAGGCCCUGUCCGUGUGGUGGGGUUGACGGUAGCCGGGGAUGAAGCGCCGGCUAACUACGUG
This 500-nucleotide ribosomal RNA is filed under the name uncultured bacterium. RNAcentral describes it as "partial 16S ribosomal RNA". It matches the Rfam family "Bacterial small subunit ribosomal RNA", at positions 28 to 507 of the family's 1533-position model. The record is from RNAcentral.